Molecule: non-coding RNA, 137 nt
Organism: Triticum aestivum (bread wheat)
Lineage: Eukaryota; Viridiplantae; Streptophyta; Magnoliopsida; Poales; Poaceae
Source: Rfam
AAAGUACUCCCUCCGUCCGAAAAUACUUGUCAUCAAAAUGAAUAAAACGAAAUGUAUCUAGAACUAAAAUACGUCUAGAUGCAUCCCCUUUUAUCCAUUUUGAUGACAAGUAUUUCCGGACGGAGAGAGAGUACUAU